Molecule: transfer RNA, 73 nt
Filed under: Paramuricea clavata
Lineage: Eukaryota; Metazoa; Cnidaria; Anthozoa; Malacalcyonacea; Plexauridae
Rfam family: tRNA
About the family: Transfer RNA (tRNA) molecules are approximately 80 nucleotides in length. Their secondary structure includes four short double-helical elements and three loops (D, anti-codon, and T loops). Further hydrogen bonds mediate the characteristic L-shaped molecular structure. tRNAs have two regions of fundamental functional importance: the anti-codon, which is responsible for specific mRNA codon recognition, and the 3' end, to which the tRNAs corresponding amino acid is attached (by aminoacyl-tRNA synthetases). tRNAs cope with the degeneracy of the genetic code in two manners: having more than one tRNA (with a specific anti-codon) for a particular amino acid; and 'wobble' base-pairing, i.e. permitting non-standard base-pairing at the 3rd anti-codon position.
Source: Rfam by way of RNAcentral
GCCUCUGUAGCUCAGUUGGUUAGAGCGCUGCACCGGAAUCGCAGGGCCGUAGGUUCGAUUCAUGCCAGAGGGC